This 482-nucleotide ribosomal RNA is filed under the name uncultured bacterium. Its description in RNAcentral is "partial 16S ribosomal RNA". It matches the Rfam family "Bacterial small subunit ribosomal RNA", at positions 30 to 507 of the family's 1533-position model. The record is from RNAcentral.
AUUGAACGCUGGCGGCACGCUUUACACAUGCCAGUCGAACGGUAACAGGCCGCAAGGUGCUGACGAGUGGCGCACGGGUGAGUAAUGCAUCGGAACGUGCCCAGGCGUGGGGGAUAACUACUCGAAAGAGUAGCUAAUACCGCAUACGAUCUAUGGAUGAAAGCGGGGGACCGUAAGGCCUCGCGCGAUUGGAGCGGCCGAUGUCAGAUUAGGUAGUUGGUGGGGUAAAGGCUCACCAAGCCAACGAUCUGUAGCUGGUCUGAGAGGACGACCAGCCACACUGGGACUGAGACACGGCCCAGACUCCUACGGGAGGCAGCAGUGGGGAAUUUUGGACAAUGGGCGCAAGCCUGAUCCAGCAAUGCCGCGUGCAGGAAGAAGGCCUUCGGGUUGUAAACUGCUUUUGUACGGAACGAAACGGCUCUGGUUAAUACCCGGGGCUAAUGACGGUACCGUAAGAAUAAGCACCGGCUAACUACGUG